RNAcentral lists this ribosomal RNA (497 nucleotides) under uncultured bacterium. RNAcentral's name for it is "partial 16S ribosomal RNA". It matches the Rfam family "Bacterial small subunit ribosomal RNA", at positions 28 to 507 of the family's 1533-position model. The record is from RNAcentral.
GAUGAACGCUGGCGGCGUGCCUAAUACAUGCAAGUCGAGCGAACAGACGAGGAGCUUGCUCCUCUGACGUUAGCGGCGGACGGGUGAGUAACACGUGGAUAACCUACCUAUAAGACUGGGAUAACUUCGGGAAACCGGAGCUAAUACCGGAUAAUAUAUUGAACCGCAUGGUUCAAUAGCGAAAGACGGUUUUGCUGUCACUUAUAGAUGGAUCCGCGCCGCAUUAGCUAGUUGGUAAGGUAACGGCUUACCAAGGCAACGAUGCGUAGCCGACCUGAGAGGGUGAUCGGCCACACCGGAACUGAGACACGGUCCAGACUCCUACGGGAGGCAGCAGUAGGGAAUCUUCCGCAAUGGGCGAAAGCUUGACGGAGCAACGCCGCGUGAGUGAUGAAGGUCUUCGGAUCGUAAAACUCUGUUAUUAGGGAAGAACAAAUGUGUAAGUAACUAUGCACGUCUUGACGGUACCUAAUCAGAAAGCCACGGCUAACUACGUG